CUCGCACUGGGCUGGCUUGGGGGCUACUGGCCCCUUUCGGUCCCCGUCCCGCUCCCGGAGGCGGGAGCCCGCGGCGGCCGGAGCCUUCUCGGGACCCAUGGUCGCCCACAGUCAACCGGCCUGCUCCCGGGACCGCGACAAGAAUGAGACAACAGAGGAAGUGACUUCAGAGCAAGAGGAAGAAGAGGACACAGCUGAAGAUAAUGAACAAGGGACCACAGCUUUGAGGGAAAUCUAGAAAGGUAAGAGACUGGACUUUGGAGAUGUCAGAUUAGGACAGGUGAAAAGCAGAUAUUCUAGGCUCCUGAAAGAACAUGGGAACAGGCCCAAAACAACCCUGGACAUGGUGUGUUUGGGUGCAUUGGAUGCUUUUCUUUUGAGAAGGAAGGUUGAUGUUUUGAAGUCAUGGAAAGUGUUCAAAAUAUUGUGAGAAUUACCAAAAUAUGACACAGAAACAUGAGUCGAGCACAUGCUGUUGGAAAAAAAUGGUGCUGAUCUUCUUGCUUAAUGUAGAGGUGCCAAAAACCUUCGAUUGUAAAACAAAACAAACAAAAAACAACAACAAAAAAGAAAAACUGCAAUAUCUACAGAGUGCAAUAAAGUGAAGCGCAAUAAAGUGAAGUAUGCCUGUAUGAAAGAUUAUGACAUCAGCGAACAAACAAUUAUAUGCCUUCCUUUCCAAUGUGUGUGCCAUUUAUUGGUCCUUGUUGCCUAAUCACUUUGGCUAGGACUUCUAUCUAGUACUAUGUUGGAAAAAAAAGGGGCUAGUAUGAGCAUCCUUGCCUUGUUCUUCGUAUUAGGAGGAAGGCUUUUUACCAUUAAAUAUGUUGGUGUGGGGUUGUCAUAAAUGGCCAUUGUUAAGUUGAAAUGUGUAUUUAUUUGUUUGUUUGUUUGUGUGUUUUAACUAGA
Molecule: long non-coding RNA, 909 nt
Organism: Cercocebus atys (sooty mangabey)
Lineage: Eukaryota; Metazoa; Chordata; Mammalia; Primates; Cercopithecidae
Exons: 3
Source: RefSeq, a predicted model, not a curated record